AGCGAGUCCAGAAGGCCCCCUGCGCUCCUACUAAACUCGCUCCUGCUUUGCCCGCACCCCUGGGGCACCGAGCAGCCCCGGGGCGUCUUGAGCUGGCUGCAAACCCAGCUGGCUCCGAGGGCGACUCCUGAGCCGGGGCGAUGGGCGCCCCUCGGACAGCCCUAGAAACCCUCUCCAUUCCAGAGUGACACGCUGGGGGCGGGCUCCCAGCCUCUUUUUCUAAACUACAGAUCCGCCCCAGGAGGGCUCUGCCGGGGUCUGCAGCCCCAGGGAAGGUCGGGACUGCGGAGGCGCCGCUGGCCCGCUGGGAGGGGCAGCCGCCCAAGUCCCCCUCGCCGGCCCGCGCAGGGCCUCGGGCCUCAUCCCAGAGGAGCGCCCCAGAUCACGAUCCUCAAGCCCCGCCAGGGCUCCCGCCCCAGGGCAGCGCCCUGGACCUCCGCCCCGCGUCGGCGGUGCGAGACUAAGUUAAAGACGCUCCUAGGAGAAGAAGCAGGAGGUCGACUUCUGGGUCUGAGCGCUGGAUGCGGCGCGGUGGCCACAAGCAGCUCAGGAAACCGGUAAAGAGCCGCUUCCUGCUGCGGCAUGGGGCAAAGCAGUUAAGAGGCGGGAAAAGCUGCUUCCUGCCGCGACAGCGCAGAUCGUGGGGCAAAUUAGUUAAGAGGCGGGAACUGGGUCUAAAAGACGGGCUCCUUCCUUUCGGCAAGGAGAUAAAAUGGGAAAAUGAGACGCGCGGACACCCAAAAGGGUCCUGCUCCAGGACCGUCUUCAUCUUACCUGACUACUCCACCCGGAACCAGCUUACUCCUGGGCCUCCUCCUGACCUCCUAGCGGCUGCCACCUCCGAAGUCCUUCCACCCACCCACCCAGCCCACUCUUUCUCCAGCUUGUCUCGAACAUCUUGUCUCCUGAGCACCUGUCACCUUGUUCCUGACCCCUCUACUUACCUAGGAGAGCCAGGAGACCAAACAGCAGGGUGACUUAGGCGCUCGAUGCAAGGACCAGCAUGGGCAAGCCAUGGAAGCAGAAUGUCUUCUCAAAUGCAUUACCAUUUGAAGAACCUGCCGGGGGUCCUCCUUCCUCAGUCACCUGCUGAUCCAGUGAGCACCAGUCACCUGCAGGUGGCCCAGCCCCCUUCUCACCCCAUUCAUGUGUCUGCACCUCUAUUGGCUCAGCAGAUAGUGGCAGGUCGCAACUGUGUGCAAGGGGAAGACAGUGCCUCCUAAAAGGAGCUGAAUUAGCUUAGCACACAAGGAAAUUGAGGAAGCUAGACAGGAAAUGCUGAAUCUGGAGAGGGUGCAGGUCAGAACCCCAGCUGCAAGAGACAUUGUCCUGGAAAGAGUAGUCUGGUAGGACCCGCAAAUCUCUUACCCACACCCAGGCUGCCUCUACAGAGCAGUGAGCCAGGAGCCUUAGCUGUGGCACUCACUGGCCCUGAAUGCUAAGAAACCUUAUGUAAGUCUCUCCCUCCCCUCCAUCUAAGAUGCCUCCUGUUUAAAUGGAAGCACCUAGAGCAGAUAAGAGCUUUCCAGCCUAUCUUGACUGGAGAACCCCUUUCACCAUGCAACUCCUACCAGCACCUCGAAAUUAG
Heterocephalus glaber (naked mole-rat) is the source of this 1588-nucleotide long non-coding RNA. NCBI's taxonomy places the organism in Eukaryota, Metazoa, Chordata, Mammalia, Rodentia, Bathyergidae. The record is from Ensembl.